UGACAUCCCCCCCAAAAAAAUUCAUGUGGCCCUAAUCCUCUUCCGUAAUUAACCUAUUUGUGUUUUUUAUACAGAUUUUUUAAAACUCAAACAUCUUUUUGGUCAAUUGUGACAUCUGUUCUUGUUUGUAGUCAUUUUUGCGCAACCUUUCUGUUCCUCCCUAUGCACAAGCCCAUGCAUGUUUUCGAUUGCAAUACUCCACCCAUCUCCCAGAAACCCCAUGACUUUCCUCAUCUUACAAUAUACAGCGCCGGAAAAAAAUGAAGAGACCACUCCACAUUUUUCUUAAAUCUUUAUCUCUAUAUGUAUGGCAGCCAUUCCAAUGUCUGUUGAAUUCCAAAACAGAUAAAGGAUGUCAGUAGGUUUCACCAAUUCAUUAAACUUCAGUAAAGCUGACAUCUGUGCCGGAGUUUCUUUGAAAGUGUUUAACUGGAUGGAUAGUGCUAUUGAGACCUUCAAAUGUAUACCACUUCAGUAUUAUCAGUUCUUCUAGUUACAUUUUUUAUAGGUAUGUCUUUUGAGUUUAAUGUUCUUGGGUUUUUUAUUUUAUUCUAUAAACUCCUGGCAAUUUUCUCUGUUUUGGAAUUCAACACACACUGGAAUGGCUGCCAUACAUGUAGAGAUAAAGAAUUAAGAAAAAGUUGAAGUGGUCCCUUAAUUUUUUCCGCGGCUGUAUAUAUAUAUAUCAUUCAACUCAAAGACAUACAUAUAAAUAGUAAAACCAGAGAAACUGAUAAUGCUUCAGUGGUCUCAUUUUUUCCGGGGCUUUACUUCUGCUCAGCUAUGUUUCAUUUACCAAUCACUCCGUCAGAACGCGUUACCCGGUCAGUUGCCAGGUUAGCAAUGUUGCUUUGUGCCCUGAACACUGCCAUGAUUCUCGACCAACCACCUGAUAUAAUAAAAUUGCCAUCUCAAAAGCUACUUCACUAGCGUGGCUAAAAUAUUUGUUUAGUGCAAGGUGCAAAACGCAGUCUCACCUGGCUCGAAGUCUCGAUGAUGCAGACACAAUCUGAAGCCCUUCUCUGCUUCCAGUUUUGGCACCAGCUCUUUGAUGACCCAUGACUCAUCAUGGGUGUUGUAGGAGAUGAAGGCGUCAUACUGAUUAGGAGCUUGCUUGUUUUUAAGCUUUGUGUCAAAGAGCCAAGCCAGGAAGAUGUAGUAUGCGUAGGCCAGUUUCCACCUCAGGAAAUGGUAGGUGAAGGUCACCACCAUAAACAGGAGUGUUGUACAUGUGGUGGUGAUAAAGCAGAUGAAUUCGAUGUCCACUGUGCAGGAAUGUGCGUCCAGGUCCAACAGUUUCGUACCUUUAAGGCCUUUAGGAUAGUUGCACUCAAAGUUGGAGGCAUCAUACACUUGUGUUGAAUUGUAAUUAACUGCCCAUUGGCCAAACCAGACAUUAUCACAGUCACAGGUGAAACUAUUGCCCAUAAGAUCUAUGUAAACGAGAGCCGGUAGGGACGUUAUAACUUCCUUACUGAUGAUUGAAUAUGCAUUCUUUCUUGCCUGUAGAAACUCCAGGUUUUUAAGUUUGGCAUCAAUAAGGAAAUCUAGAGACCCAAGAGUUGUUCUAGAUAUGUAAAGGCUUUUAAGGUUGACAAUUGGUAAAAACAGAUCAGGAGAAAGAUCCUUUAGGUCAUUUGUGCUAAUGUCAAGUUCUUGCAGUUUAGGCGUGUAACUAAACAUGUCUUUGUGGAAGUACAGAAGUUGCAUGUUCCUUGCAUCGAAAUACAAAAGGUUAGUCAAACCUUGCAGAUAGUUGCGAGGCAGGUGAGACUUCAACCUUCUGUGUUGCGCUGGAAUAGCCAGUAUCUCAAGAUCGGACAGCUGAGAAAAUGGUGGAUCAGAAAUAGCUUUAUCGCUGCGGUAUUGAAUGUGAUUCUCCCUUAAAUCCAAUCUUUUCAAAUGUAUUAGAUCAUUGAAAGCACCUCUGAAUGUAUGUUCUUUUAAACUGUUUUUUUGCAGUAGAAUAAUAGUUAGAUUUGUCAGCCCGAUAAAAGAACCAUUUUCAAGUAUAUGAAUUUGAUUUUCAAAUAAUGACAAGUUCUUGAGGGAAUGCAAGCCUUGAAAGUCCCCCCGCUUAAUGGAGGUGAGUUUAUUUUUAUUCAAAUGCAGUUGUUGAAGAUUUGGUAAGUACAUUUUGAAAGCAUCUCCUAAGUUGUAGAUGUUGUUGUCCUCUAGCUUUAAGACUUGCAAUCCUAUUAAAUCCUUGAAAACACAUUUUUUUAGAGCUGAAAUUUGAUUCUGAUGAAGGUAAAGCACUCUGAGCCUUGUCAGAUUAGUGAAAUCGUGACACUCGAGUCUGCUGAUGUUAUUCCUUCUGAAAUUCAGCUUUACAAGUCUUGGUAGAUUGCUAGUGGCAACUGGAACAGAUACAAGCUUGUUUUGACUCAUAUCUAAGAUCCUUAAAGCUUGAACAUAUGUGAAGGCCUUGUCUUCAAUCUUAUUGGAUCGUAUUUGAUUAUGUGAUAAAUCUAACUCUGUUACAUGAAUACACCCCUUGAACAAAUCUGACCUGAUAAAAAAGAGGUUGUUGCUUUGGAGUUGGAGUUUGGACACAGUUGGGAUGGCGCAGGUAAGAUUGAUUAGUUUGGGAAGGCUUGUGCGUCUCAUGCCAUUCAUUUUCAGAAAGGUAAGUGAGAAGUUGAAGAGCUCUUCUAUUGUUUUCCUGUCAUCAGGAGUAAUUUGAAGCCCACUUAUAUCAAGAGUGGACACUUGACUAAGAAAAGUCUUACCAACUUCCCAUUUCAUCGGUGGCUUUUUAUAAGUACAGUCGAUGUUCAGCAAGGUGAGAUUUGGAAAAACAUCUUCGGUGAUACUAAAGACUGAAAAGGGAUUUUGAGACAAAUGAAGUUGCGUAAGUUUUAGUGAGCGGUUUGUCAUUUCCCAUGACUUGAAAUUGGGUAAAUUGUUGUCUUCAACUGAAAGAAUCUGUAAAUUUGGCAGAUGCUGUAUUACGGAAUUAAAUGUUGUUAUCUUGUGCAGUUUGUUGCUGGAGACUCCCAAAAGCGUCAAGCUUGUUAAGGACCUAAACGAGACAAGUCCAAACCUCCCACGGUUGCAGGAAUUUCUCCAGGAACAGAUUGAAGCGACUUACAUUCAUUCCAUGAGGUGGACAAUCCCCACAGGAGCAAUUGGGGUGAAGAGUCCAGGCCAUGGACACAACGACUGACUGCAGUGGGACUCGAACCCUGAUGAAGAAGAAGAAGAAGACUUUUGACUUUUAGAAAAACACUUUAUUACAGGUUUAGCAAAUGUACAUUUACAUCAAGUACAACACAACUCAAUUUACCUAGAAUAGAUAAAUAAAAAAGCUAAGCCUUAAA
Eleginops maclovinus (Patagonian blennie) is the source of this 3323-nucleotide long non-coding RNA. RefSeq lists it as uncharacterized. Lineage: Eukaryota; Metazoa; Chordata; Actinopteri; Perciformes; Eleginopidae. The record is from RefSeq and is a predicted model, not a curated record. The transcript has 3 exons.